RNAcentral lists this ribosomal RNA (408 nucleotides) under Durinskia baltica. Its description in RNAcentral is "partial Eukaryotic small subunit ribosomal RNA". It matches the Rfam family "Eukaryotic small subunit ribosomal RNA", at positions 24 to 434 of the family's 1831-position model. Lineage: Eukaryota; Dinophyceae; Peridiniales; Kryptoperidiniaceae. The record is from RNAcentral.
UCAUAUGCUUGUCUCAAAGAUUAAGCCAUGCAUGUGUAAGUAUGAAUUAAUUCAGACUGUGAAACUGCGAAUGGCUCAUUAAAUCAGUUAUCGUUUAUUUGAUAGUACCUUACUACAUGGAUAACCGUGGUAAUUCUAGAGCUAAUACAUGCUAAAAACCCCGACUUCGGGAGGGGUGUAUUUAUUAGAUAAAAAACCAAUGCCCUUCGGGGCUCCUUGGUGAAUCAUAAUAACUUAACGAAUCGCAUGGCCUUGCGCCGGCGAUGGUUCAUUCAAAUUUCUGCCCUAUCAACUUUCGACGGCUGGGUCUUGGCCAGCCAUGGUGACAACGGGUAACGGAGGGUUAGGGCUCGACCCCGGAGAAGGAGCCUGAGAGACGGCUACUACAUCCAAGGAAGGCAGCAGGCG